GAUGAACGCUGGCGGCGUGCCUAAUACAUGCAAGUCGAGCGAACAGACGAGGAGCUUACUCCUCUGACGUUAGCGGCGGACGGGUGAGUAACACGUGGAUAACCUACCUAUAAGACUGGGAUAACUUCGGGAAACCGGAGCUAAUACCGGAUAACAUGUUGAACCGCAUGGUUCAACAGUGAAAGACGGUCUUGCUGUCACUUAUAGAUGGAUCCGCGUCGCAUUAGCUAGUUGGUAAGGUAACGGCUUACCAAGGCAACGAUGCGUAGCCGACCUGAGAGGGUGAUCGGCCACACUGGAACUGAGACACGGUCCAGACUCCUACGGGAGGCAGCAGUAGGGAAUCUUCCGCAAUGGGCGAAAGCCUGACGGAGCAACGCCGCGUGAGUGAAGAAGGUCUUCGGAUCGUAAAACUCUGUUAUUAGGGAAGAACAAAUGUGUAAGUAACUAUGCACGUCUUGACGGUACCUAAUCAGAAAGCCACGGCUAACUACGUGCCAGCAGCCGCGGUAAUACGUAGGUGGCAAGCGUUAUCCGGAAUUAUUGGGCGUAAAGCGCGCGUAGGCGGUUUUUUAAGUCUGAUGUGAAAGCCCACGGCUCAACCGUGGAGGGUCAUUGGAAACUGGAAAACUUGAGUGCAGAAGAGGAAAGUGGAAUUCCAUGUGUAGCGGUGAAAUGCGCAGAGAUAUGGAGGAACACCAGUGGCGAAGGCGACUUUCUGGUCUGUAACUGACGCUGAUGUGCGAAAGCGUGGGGAUCAAACAGGAUUAGAUACCCUGGUAGUCCACGCCGUAAACGAUGAGUGCUAAGUGUUAGGGGGUUUCCGCCCCUUAGUGCUGCAGCUAACGCAUUAAGCACUCCGCCUGGGGAGUACGACCGCAAGGUUGAAACUCAAAGGAAUUGACGGGGACCCGCACAAGCGGUGGAGCAUGUGGUUUAAUUCGAAGCAACGCGAAGAACCUUACCAAAUCUUGACAUCCUCUGACCCCUCUAGAGAUAGAGUUUUCCCCUUCGGGGGACAGAGUGACAGGUGGUGCAUGGUUGUCGUCAGCUCGUGUCGUGAGAUGUUGGGUUAAGUCCCGCAACGAGCGCAACCCUUAAGCUUAGUUGCCAUCAUUAAGUUGGGCACUCUAAGUUGACUGCCGGUGACAAACCGGAGGAAGGUGGGGAUGACGUCAAAUCAUCAUGCCCCUUAUGAUUUGGGCUACACACGUGCUACAAUGGACAAUACAAAGGGUAGCGAAACCGCGAGGUCAAGCAAAUCCCAUAAAGCUGUUCUCAGUUCGGAUUGUAGUCUGCAACUCGACUACAUGAAGCUGGAAUCGCUAGUAAUCGUAGAUCAGCAUGCUACGGUGAAUACGUUCCCGGGUCU
This 1372-nucleotide ribosomal RNA is filed under the name uncultured bacterium. RNAcentral's name for it is "bacterial SSU rRNA". It matches the Rfam family "Bacterial small subunit ribosomal RNA", at positions 28 to 1381 of the family's 1533-position model. The record is from RNAcentral.